RNAcentral lists this small RNA (884 nucleotides) under Arabidopsis thaliana (thale cress). Its description in RNAcentral is "ATSL039890". The record is from RNAcentral. Lineage: Eukaryota; Viridiplantae; Streptophyta; Magnoliopsida; Brassicales; Brassicaceae.
AAAUUGAAGUAAAACUGCACCAUGCCUACAUUGCUCUACUCGACCACACGGUUAGGAUCUGAUACCAUUCCCUAUCAAUUUGAACUUGAAUCUGAUUUAGAAUUAUCAUGUCCUGGCAUUGAAUUUGAACUCAUGGAUACCCUAAAAUACUUGGAUUUUCUUACUCAUUUUAACCACUCUUGUUAAUCCAAGUAGCUAACUCUCCUUAUUAGAGCAGUUAACCCGAACCCAAACCUAAACUUUCUUUCAAGCCCUAUAUCACUUGUGAGUGUUUGUGAGGUCUUAUUUCCAUUGAGCUUGGUAGAAAGUGUUAGGUUCGUAACGACAGAGAUAGUGUCUCAUGUAGUUCUAGUUUGCGUUUUUCGGACUGGAUAGGACUAGCUGGGCGCUUAUAUCAUGGGUUGGGAUGUGUUUAAAAGAAAAAGGUGAAUUCAUUGUUGAUAAGGAAAGGGAAAGAAUUCUAGGGGAAUUAAGCUAAAGAAGUUAGAAAAAACAAAUCUAGUAAAGGGUUUUGGAAUGUUAAAGAAAAGAAUGAGGUUCUUGUUAAAGACUAACUCUUAGAAAACAAAAUAUAUACAAUAAGAUAUUACUAUAAAUACAUAUAUAUUAAUUUUUAUAUAAUUUAUUAUCAAACAUAUAUACAAGGACAUUUAUUUCUACAAAAAGAUAGUAUUCAUAAGUACAAAUAGAUUUAAUUGAUCACACUAAUGUUCAAAUAUUUUUAUGUAAGAAAGUCAUCCUAAUAUAGUUUCUUUUGAUUAUAAUCUGAGGAGAUAAACUAAAAGAUUUUCUUGCUUUUUCGUUUUUGACUUCAAAAUAUAUAUAUAAUACAACCAUUUGUAACAAAGCAUAAACAUCAAAAACAAAAUUAAGUCAAAAUCAUA